GACGAACGCUGGCGGCGUGCCUAAUACAUGCAAGUUGAGCGCUGAAGGUUGGUACUUGUACCAACUGGAUGAGCAGCGAACGGGUGAGUAACGCGUGGGGAAUCUGCCUUUGAGCGGGGGACAACAUUUGGAAACGAAUGCUAAUACCGCAUAAGAACUUUAAACACAAGUUUUAAGUUUGAAAGAUGCAAUUGCAUCACUCAAAGAUGAUCCCGCGUUGUAUUAGCUAGUUGGUGAGGUAAAGGCUCACCAAGGCGAUGAUACAUAGCCGACCUGAGAGGGUGAUCGGCCACAUUGGGACUGAGACACGGCCCAAACUCCUACGGGAGGCAGCAGUAGGGAAUCUUCGGCAAUAGACGAAAGUCUGACCGAGCAACGCCGCGUGAGUGAAGAAGGUUUUCGGAUCGUAAAACUCUGUUGGUAGAGAAGAACGUUGGUGAGAGUGGAAAGCUCAUCAAGUGACGGUAACUACCCAGAAAGGGACGGCUAACUACGUG
This 497-nucleotide ribosomal RNA is filed under the name uncultured bacterium. RNAcentral describes it as "partial 16S ribosomal RNA". It matches the Rfam family "Bacterial small subunit ribosomal RNA", at positions 28 to 507 of the family's 1533-position model. The record is from RNAcentral.